CUGCUCCUACCGCAUAACAUACGGGUAUCGCAUGGUACUUGUAUCAAAGAUUUAUCGCUGAGAGAUGGCCUCGCGUCUGAUUAGCUAGUUGGUGAGGUAACGGCCCACCAAGGCAACGAUCAGUAGCCGGACUGAGAGGUUGGCCGGCCACAUUGGGACUGAGAUACGGCCCAGACUCCUACGGGAGGCAGCAGUGGGGAGUAUUGGGCAAUGGGCGCAAGCCUGACCCAGCAACGCCGCGUGAAGGAAGAAGGCUUUCGGGUUGUAAACUUCUUUUAAGAGGGAAGAGCAGAAGACGGUACCUCUUGAAUAAGCUCCGGCUAACUACGUGCCAGCAGCCGCGGUAAUACGUAGGGAGCGAGCGUUGUCCGGAUCUACUGGGUGUAAAGGGCGUGCAGCCGGGAGUGCAAGUCAGAUGUGAAAUCCCGCGGCUCAACCGCGGAACUGCAUUUGAAACUGCGCUUCUUGAGUACUGGAGAGGCAGACGGAAUUCCUAGUGUAGCGGUGAAAUGCGUAGAUAUUAGGAGGAACACCAGUGGCGAAGGCGGUCUGCUGGACAGCAACUGACGGUGAGGCGCGAAAGCGUGGGGAGCAAACAGGAUUAGAUAC
This 609-nucleotide ribosomal RNA is filed under the name uncultured Bacillota bacterium. RNAcentral describes it as "bacterial SSU rRNA". It matches the Rfam family "Bacterial small subunit ribosomal RNA", at positions 160 to 785 of the family's 1533-position model. The record is from RNAcentral. Lineage: Bacteria; Bacillati; Bacillota.